UACGUAGGUGACGAGCGUUAUCCGGAAUUACUGGGCGUAAAGCGCACGCAGGUGGUUUUGCAAGUCUGGCGUGAAAUCUCCUGGCUUAACCAGGAGCGGUCGCUGGAAACGGCAAGACUUGAGGCGAUGAGAGGGGUGCAGAAUUCCCGGUGUAGUGGUGGAAUGCGUAGAUAUCGGGGGGAAUACCAGUGGCGAAGGCGGCACCCUGGCAUCGAGCUGACGCUCAUGUGCGAAAGCGUGGGGAGUGAAC
RNAcentral lists this ribosomal RNA (250 nucleotides) under uncultured bacterium. Its description in RNAcentral is "partial 16S ribosomal RNA". It matches the Rfam family "Bacterial small subunit ribosomal RNA", at positions 524 to 773 of the family's 1533-position model. The record is from RNAcentral.